RNAcentral lists this long non-coding RNA (1770 nucleotides) under Triticum aestivum (bread wheat). RNAcentral describes it as "long non-coding RNA (TAES_LNC014219)". The record is from RNAcentral. Lineage: Eukaryota; Viridiplantae; Streptophyta; Magnoliopsida; Poales; Poaceae.
UUUUUCUUGUCCAUAGAAAGAUAUAUCUAUACUAUGUGUAUCAGUUCAUGAUAUAAGUUUUCAUCAGUUCAUAAUUCUAUCAUCUUAUGGUAGAUAAAUAUACUAGUUUGUAUCUUCAUUAGUUUCAGUCACCCCGCAACCCAGCCGGCAACUCCGCCAUCUCCCCGUGCCGGAUCGAGCUCCAGAUCAGUGCCCCCAUCUACACUUGUAUGUUUUUUUCAUUUCACACUGUAGUUAGUUUUUCAGUACACAUUGUCGGGUUUUUUUCCAGUUCAAUGGAUUCCAAAAAGAAACAACCGCAGCUGGGUGCGAAUUCAUUAGUUUACAUCUCUUCUCACACUUUGCUGCAUGGGGCAAAGAGUUGUACUGUGUUGAUUCAGCUUCUGUACUUUUUCUAGUUUCAGACAUUUGGUACCACUUGUCAACUAGAUAUGUUAAUACAUGUGCCAAAAGUGGCUAAGCUGCCUGUCCAAACUAAGUACAGUUUGACAACAAAUAACUGCAGUAUUUUAUCAGUACAUGUCCAUUAGCAAAAAUUCAUGUUACAAAUGUUUUCAUACUUCCAUUUUACAAAAAAAAUAGAUGGCAUUUGUCGCUCCAAUUAUGGAGAAAAUGCAGUGAAAUAAAUAAAGUGUCCUCUCAAAAGUUCAUAUAUACUUGCAGAAAACAUGAUGCUCUUUAGGUGCUUGUUGUUAAUGCAGAAAACAGUUUUCAAUACCGAAGAAUAGCCUUAGCGAGAAGUUCAUGUUCAGAAAGUUGGUAGGUUCAUACAGAGAAACUUAAACAAAUAUUAUCCAUUUUAGUAUUGAUCUAGUAUCAUAUAUGCGUCAGUUCUAAAUACUUUGUUCAUUGUGAUCAGAGAUAAUACAAAAAGCAUAUCCUUCAAUUCUGCAGAUAUUUUACAACUUUCCGGCAAGUGUAGAAGUUCAUGUUGAUUACUCCCGGCAAGUGUAGAAGUUUGCCAAUAUACAAUCUAUAAGUUCACUAUCCAGUAGAUUAGUUUAGUAGUUGGUACUAACUACUCCACUUUUUUAUUUGAUGUACAUGUGGUGUCUAGUUUCUUCCGUUAGUUCAAUUUCUAAAUUUCAUCCAGUUCAAUUCAUAUUGUAGCUCCAAUUUAGUCCACAUGGUUAAUUGUUGGCUGGUGUGUGUGCAGGGUACCGUGACAUUGAGUAGGCGUGAAGUGUAUCACUCUAGCACGCCAAGUUCCAGUGCAUGUCAACGUCUUCUCCACUGCAAUGGAAGCUCCUCUGUUCGAGUUGAGCACUGGUCAUCGUCCAAGUUGAGCACUAGGUGCCGUCCAAGUUCAAAGAGGGUUGUAUGAAAGUACAUAACUUUGUUUUAGUGAGAAAAAUGUGGGGUUUUGACAAUAUUCUGUAUGAUUCAUUUAUUCAACCUUAGAACUUGGCGAUAUUCAGUCUAUUUUUCUAUGAUGAAGGCACACAUGAAAGUCCUGCACAAUGGUUAUCCCCCUAGUGCUUCAAAGAUUCAUAUUUUGUUUCUUCAAAUGUGGUGUGCGCCUGUUUGAUGAGGUAAAAGAAAGUAAAAUAGUGAAAAUGUCAUUAAAGACACUUGGAAGUACAAAUGUAGAAAGUAAAUAAGUUCUGAUUCUUGUUAGGUAGGAAGUUUGGAGAAAAAAACACAAGUUUUUAAAAGAAGAAAAUGGUAAAAAUGUAAGUCCAUUCAACUAUAUAAACCAUAAAGGUACGAUGGUGAUGACACCGUGAGUAAGGAUAAGGAUGGGAAACAAGAUUAAAAAUUAAAACCAAA